GGGGGACCUUCGGGCCUCUUGCCAUCGGAUGUGCCCAGAUGGGAUUAGCUAGUAGGUGGGGUAACGGCUCACCUAGGCGACGAUCCCUAGCUGGUCUGAGAGGAUGACCAGCCACACUGGAACUGAGACACGGUCCAGACUCCUACGGGAGGCAGCAGUGGGGAAUAUUGCACAAUGGGCGCAAGCCUGAUGCAGCCAUGCCGCGUGUAUGAAGAAGGCCUUCGGGUUGUAAAGUACUUUCAGCGGGGAGGAAGGGAGUAAAGUUAAUACCUUUGCUCAUUGACGUUACCCGCAGAAGAAGCACCGGCUAACUCCGUGCCAGCAGCCGCGGUAAUACGGAGGGUGCAAGCGUUAAUCGGAAUUACUGGGCGUAAAGCGCACGCAGGCGGUUUGUUAAGUCAGAUGUGAAAUCCCCCAGGACUACAGUC
This 428-nucleotide ribosomal RNA is filed under the name Escherichia coli. Its description in RNAcentral is "bacterial SSU rRNA". It matches the Rfam family "Bacterial small subunit ribosomal RNA", at positions 194 to 617 of the family's 1533-position model. Lineage: Bacteria; Pseudomonadati; Pseudomonadota; Gammaproteobacteria; Enterobacterales; Enterobacteriaceae. The record is from RNAcentral.